CCUACGGGUGGCAGCAGUGGGGAAUAUUGCACAAUGGGGGAAACCCUGAUCCAGCGACGCCGCGUGAGUGAAGACGUAUUUCGGUACGUAAAGCUCUAUCAGCAGGGAAGAAAAUGACGGUACCUGACUAAGAAGCCCCGGCUAACUACGUGCCAGCAGCCGCGGUAAUACGUAGGGGGCAAGCGUUAUCCGGAUUUACUGGGUGUAAAGGGGGCGUAGACGGCAGCGCAAGUCUGUAGUGAAAUCCAAUGGCUUAACCAUGGAACUGCUUUGGAAACUGUGCAGCUGGAGUGCAGGAGAGGUAAGCGGAAUUCCUAGUGUAGCGGUGAAAUGCGUAGAGAGUAGGAGGAACACCAGUGGCGAAGGCGGCUUACUGGACUGUAACUGACGUUGAGGCUCGAAAGCGUGGGGAGCAAACAGGAUUAGAGACCCCAGUAGUC
This 440-nucleotide ribosomal RNA is filed under the name uncultured bacterium. RNAcentral describes it as "partial 16S ribosomal RNA". It matches the Rfam family "Bacterial small subunit ribosomal RNA", at positions 338 to 795 of the family's 1533-position model. The record is from RNAcentral.